This 214-nucleotide long non-coding RNA is filed under the name Setaria viridis. RNAcentral's name for it is "long non-coding RNA (SVIR_LNC006112)". Lineage: Eukaryota; Viridiplantae; Streptophyta; Magnoliopsida; Poales; Poaceae. The record is from RNAcentral.
CUUUUUUUUUUGUUGAAAAUGGAGGACUUAAUUUUGGUCCCAAACGGCAUAAGCUAUAGCAAAUUCCUUUUGCAUCUGGUUAUUGCUACUUCUUGGAACCAUGCAAAAUUGCAGACUGAACAUUUAGUUUUUAAAACGAAUUGCAGACCAAACAUUGAAAAGCUUGCGCAUGCAUAACCGUAGCAGUAGCACCAGCCACCAGGGCAGUAUGCAG